RNAcentral lists this long non-coding RNA (457 nucleotides) under Monodelphis domestica (gray short-tailed opossum). Its description in RNAcentral is "lncRNA (ENSMODG00000034757.2)". The record is from RNAcentral. Lineage: Eukaryota; Metazoa; Chordata; Mammalia; Didelphimorphia; Didelphidae.
CAUGAGUGUUCCUCCUGAAGGCAGGCGGUGGAUGCUCCUCCUGACACUGCAUGUCAUCUCUCUUCUCUCUGACAGCAGGGCCUAGAGUGAAGGAGUGACAUAUGGAAACUAAAAACAUGCAAAGGGGUUAACUGAAGAGGAGGAAGGAAAAAAAAAAGCAUGGAACUGGAAAAGACAAAGUAAAAUGAAUUUUUAGGAUACCACCGUCAUGGAGAUGGAUGAGAUAACCUGGAGAGGAACGAGAUGUGGCUGGACUAGGCUCCUUCAUCCAGCCUGAGAGGCCUCAGAGGCAGAAAUCUGAAGCUUUCAGUGCUUUUCAAGUAUGAAUUCCAGAGUUGGAGUAAAGAUUUAGGAUGGAUACCUGGCUAUGAUAGAGGAGAUCAGCAAUGUAACUUGAAGAUACGAAGCAAGCACGUGGAAAAAGUACCAGACUUCAAGGUGAGAAGAUGGGAGGCAG